RNAcentral lists this ribosomal RNA (451 nucleotides) under uncultured bacterium. RNAcentral describes it as "partial 16S ribosomal RNA". It matches the Rfam family "Bacterial small subunit ribosomal RNA", at positions 354 to 796 of the family's 1533-position model. The record is from RNAcentral.
GUGGGGAAUAUUGGACAAUGGGGGGAACCCUGAUCCAGCCAUGCCGCGUGUGUGAAGAAGGCAUUUUGGUUGUAAAGCACUUUAAGCGAGGAGGAGGCUUACCUGGUUAAUACCUGGGAUAAGUGGACGUUACUCGCAGAAUAAGCACCGGCUAACUCUGUGCCAGCAGCCGCGGUAAUACAGAGGGUGCGAGCGUUAAUCGGAUUUACUGGGCGUAAAGCGCGCGUAGGUGGUUAAUUAAGUCAAAUGUGAAAUCCCCGAGCUUAACUUGGGAAUUGCAUUCGAUACUGGUUAGCUAGAGUAUGGGAGAGGAUGGUAGAAUUCCAGGUGUAGCGGUGAAAUGCGUAGAGAUCUGGAGGAAUACCGAUGGCGAAGGCAGCCAUCUGGCCUAAUACUGACACUGAGGUGCGAAAGCAUGGGGAGCAAACAGGAUUAGAAACCCGAGUAGUCC